Molecule: long non-coding RNA, 456 nt
Organism: Daphnia magna
Lineage: Eukaryota; Metazoa; Arthropoda; Branchiopoda; Diplostraca; Daphniidae
Exons: 4
Source: RefSeq, a predicted model, not a curated record
AUGAAUGACAACUUGACGAGAUCUUGACACGCACGUACGUUGGAAGUGUACGCGUGUUUGCACCUCGAUGAGCGUUGCACAAUAACAAAGCUCCGUUGGUGAGCGUAUUGAUUAAUAAAGCUAGGUGAAGUACUUGAGUGCCUCAAGGACUUUGUUUUGUUUUAGCAGUAUUUUUUCCUUCAACAAUUAAUCUUGCAUCUCCAACCGUGGAAUGAGUUACAUGUGACUCGAGACAAACAAACAGUGCAAUUGCAACAAUAUAAUUAGUCAGCGGUAUGGUCACUAUCAGCAGCUUUACACACAGUGUGCAUCGUGAAUACAUCAAUCCCAGAGAAAACAUUCCAAUGGAAAAUAUUGAGAAUUUCUGCCCUUCUAUCCUGAACUAAACAAUGCUGGGAGAUUGGUUAUCUCUUCACAGAGAUGAGUCAUCCGCUCCUUGGACAACGCUGCGAUCGU